GGGGAUGUAAGUCUCGACGGGAAGGGUUCUUUAAAAACGGCAAGCCGGCCUGAAAUAAGCCGUUAAAAGGUUUCAAAAAAUAUAACUGGCAACAAAAAAGUUGCUAAUUAUGCUUAUGCUUACGCUUAAAAGCGCUUGGGCAUAAGCCAUUCGUAGUUUUUUCUCCUGGUGAGAAACUAUGGGUGCCAACCUAGCCAGGAUACAGUUCAGUCGGUUUGGCUAGUCUGGCUGAACCAAGUCUUAACUAGUCUUGGUCUUAACUUUCCGGUUGACAGGAUCAGGUUAAGACGACAAUUAAGAGUCAACUAAGCUUGUAGAAGUUUUUAGAAAUUCUUUUCGGACGCCGGUUCACCCCGGCCAUCUCCACUA
Molecule: transfer-messenger RNA, 369 nt
Filed under: Patescibacteria group
Lineage: Bacteria
Also listed under: 1 other name
Description: JAHIFH01 sp018900995 X1 Standard tmRNA
Rfam family: transfer-messenger RNA
About the family: Bacterial tmRNA, also known as 10Sa RNA or SsrA, is named for its dual tRNA and mRNA-like properties. Its role is to liberate the mRNA from a stalled ribosome.
Source: RNAcentral